AAAGUACUCCCUCCAUCCCAAAAUUCUUGUCUUAGAUUUUUCUAGAUACGUAUGUAUCUAGAUACAUCCGUAUCUAGACAAAUCUAAGACAAGAAAUUGGGGAAAGAGGGAGUAGUUG
This is a non-coding RNA of Triticum aestivum (bread wheat), 118 nucleotides long. NCBI's taxonomy places the organism in Eukaryota, Viridiplantae, Streptophyta, Magnoliopsida, Poales, Poaceae. The record is from Rfam.